AUUGAACGCUGGCGGCAUGCCUUACACAUGCAAGUCGAACGGUAACAGGUCUUCGGAUGCUGACGAGUGGCGAACGGGUGAGUAAUACAUCGGAACGUGCCCGAUCGUGGGGGAUAACGCAGCGAAAGCUGUGCUAAUACCGCAUACGAUCCACGGAUGAAAGCGGGGGACUCGCAAGGGCCUCGCGCGGACGGAGCGGCCGAUGGCAGAUUAGGUAGUUGGUGGGAUAAAAGCUUACCAAGCCGACGAUCUGUAGCUGGUCUGAGAGGACGACCAGCCACACUGGGACUGAGACACGGCCCAGACUCCUACGGGAGGCAGCAGUGGGGAAUUUUGGACAAUGGGCGCAAGCCUGAUCCAGCCAUGCCGCGUGCAGGAUGAAGGCCUUCGGUUGUAACUGCUUUUGUACGGAACGAAAAGACUCUCUCUAAUACAGGGGUGGAAUGACGGUACCGUAAGAAUAAGCACCGGCUAACUACGUGCCAGC
Molecule: ribosomal RNA, 487 nt
Filed under: uncultured bacterium
Lineage: Bacteria
Description: bacterial SSU rRNA
Rfam family: Bacterial small subunit ribosomal RNA
Source: RNAcentral